This 492-nucleotide ribosomal RNA is filed under the name uncultured bacterium. Its description in RNAcentral is "bacterial SSU rRNA". It matches the Rfam family "Bacterial small subunit ribosomal RNA", at positions 18 to 509 of the family's 1533-position model. The record is from RNAcentral.
CCUGGCUCAGGACGAACGCUGGCGGCGUGCUUAACACAUGCAAGUCGAACGGAACUAUUAUGGAAUGUUUUCGGGACUAGGAAGUUUUAGUUUAGUGGCGAACGGGUGAGUAACGCGUGAGGAACCUGCCUUUCAGAGGGGGACAACAGUUGGAAACGACUGCUAAUACCGCAUAAUGCAUUUUUUCGCAUGACGAAAAUGCCAAAGAUUUUAUCGCUGAAAGAUGGCCUCGCGUCUGAUUAGAUAGUUGGUGGGGUAACGGCCUACCAAGUCGACGAUCAGUAGCCGGACUGAGAGGUUGAACGGCCACAUUGGGACUGAGAUACGGCCCAGACUCCUACGGGAGGCAGCAGUGGGGAAUAUUGGGCAAUGGGCGCAAGCCUGACCCAGCAACGCCGCGUGAAGGAAGAAGGCUUUCGGGUUGUAAACUUCUUUUACCAGGGACGAAGGAUGUGACGGUACCUGGAGAAAAGCCACGGCUAACUACGUGCC